GGGUCGACUCAUGGUUAGAAAAAUUCAAAAAAGAUGAUGAAAAAAUUUUGAAAAAAAAAAUAAAAUUUGAGGGAAGAGUGUCUAUUUAAGAGAUUGAUCAUAUGAAGGAUAGUUUUGAGCUUUUAAGAAAGAAGAGAUGAGAAUUGAGCUCAAAAUUUGGUUCAAUAAAUUUUUGAUAAAAAAAACUUGAAAUUAGAAAGA
This 201-nucleotide long non-coding RNA is filed under the name Elaeis guineensis (African oil palm). RNAcentral describes it as "long non-coding RNA (EGUI_LNC077761)". Lineage: Eukaryota; Viridiplantae; Streptophyta; Magnoliopsida; Arecales; Arecaceae. The record is from RNAcentral.